Molecule: long non-coding RNA, 276 nt
Filed under: Homo sapiens (human)
Lineage: Eukaryota; Metazoa; Chordata; Mammalia; Primates; Hominidae
Description: HSALNT0344908
Source: RNAcentral
UUUAAUGUCACGUGGCUCUCACAGCUGGGGAAACUGAGUUACAGAGCUUUUCUGCACUGAGUCAUCAGGAGCAAAUGCUAGAUCAGAUAGAGUCUCUCUCUCUGCCACCCAGGCCAGAGUGCAGUUGACGCAGGGCAGGGGAGCCCCGAAGUGGAGCAUAGUGUGUCCGGAACUGGUGGGUUCUUGGUCUCCCUGACUUCAAGAAUGAAGCCACGGACCCUCGGGGUGGUACCGUAAGAUCAAACGCCAUCGCCGUGGGUUGAUAUAGUGCCUUGC